AUGCCAUGUGAGGAUACCGUCAACAUAACGUAUUGUGAGGAUUCAGGGCUGGGGCGGAGUACCCUGGGCAAAAGUGAGAAGCUGGGGCUUAGCUAUGUAUGGAGCCGAGGCACCCACACCAGCCACAGAUGCCUGCAGGAUAGUGGGCUGUCAGCUCAGCCCAGUGCAGUGAGAAACGGUGACUUUUCAAAAUAUGCAAUAUAUAUAUUUGGCUUGUCUUCAUUUUUGGCACUUGUUUAUCACAGAAGGAAAAAAAAAAACAAGCUUGUGGGGAAAUUGAAUAAUCUCUAUAAAAAAGAAAAGCACAGUAAUAAAUUAUAUAUACUUUUUUCCCCUGUCAAAAUUCAGCAUUUCAUAUCUGAUCAAAAGUUUUAAAAUCUCUUUUUUUUUUUUAGGCUUACAUUACAUUAGAUAAAUGGGUUCUUAAAAUGCACUUACAACAGAACCCUCAUUCUGAUUAAAUUUUCAGUUCAGUCACUACCCACUUCAUUUUUUAUGGGCUUCAUAGGAGAAACUUUAAAAACAUCAUAAGAUGAUCCAGGACUCGCUCAACUUGCUUACUGUGAGUGGUUUUGGUUUCCAGGUGCAAUUCUGUAGCAUCUAAAUUGGCAGAGAGGAAACAGCUAGGCUUCCUCUCAGCUUGACACCCCAUUCAAGACUCCUCUCAGCCCUUCUUAUGAAGCACAUGGCAGAUCUUUGCGCAGUGCACUGGGGUCUGGGGUUGGUUCUGUACUGCGUUCAUCCUUAAAGCAGUUACUGAAGGUGAUACGUGCUUGGUUAAGAUUUCCUGGUUUUGUUUGGUUCAGGCAUUGGUGAUAAGUGGAAGACCUACCUGUGUGUUGAUCCUCACUUUCACGUUAACUAGUUUUAAGAUGGUUAGUAAACACACCCAGGUCUUUCACAAAAGGCUUGGAGAUGACUUAGGGCCAACCUCAUAUGGCCGUGGAGGUUAAUGGUGUCAUCUAAUGUCACAGGGAGAUGUGUGUAGUUAGGAUUUGGUUUUCUUGACCCAGUGUGCGGUACUCACCAGACUGUCUGCUACCACACAAUUUAAGCUGGUUAAGCUCCUCGAUGAUGCACAGUGACCAGCUUCACAUGAUUUACUUUAUUAAGAAGAAAAUAGAUGUGGAAUUGUUUUCAAAGAUACAACGUAAAUGAUUAUAUUAUGGUGUGUUAUUUCUCUGUCGAGCUUCAUAUUUGUUGAUAGGUUUUUCUUUCUUCUUUUGCGCACAGUGCUAAUAAGUCCUUUCCAAACUCUUGUCCCCUAGAUCUGUCUUUUGGAUUGUCAGAGUUGGUUUUCACUGAUUACUUUUUCUCUGUGUGAUGGGUAACAUUCUUCUUUUUAUUUUAGUCUAGUAAUUCUUAUCAUAUUCUAGAUAUUGUGACCAUUGCGGAACUCUAGAUUCUGUUGUGCUCUCUGAAUAUAUUGAUAUUUCUGUUUGUUUUAGCAGGUAGUCAACUUGGCAAGAUUCAGACUCUAAACUGUCCCCUCUGUGGUGGGCAGCAAUCAGCAUUUUUGUUCAGUCCCUUCAGCUUGCGCUCCUCUCUGCAAUGAGUUCUGG
RNAcentral lists this long non-coding RNA (1562 nucleotides) under Capra hircus (goat). Its description in RNAcentral is "lncRNA (ENSCHIG00010013502.1)". Lineage: Eukaryota; Metazoa; Chordata; Mammalia; Artiodactyla; Bovidae. The record is from RNAcentral.